Schistosoma rodhaini is the source of this 46-nucleotide non-coding RNA. The record is from Rfam. Lineage: Eukaryota; Metazoa; Platyhelminthes; Trematoda; Strigeidida; Schistosomatidae.
GCAUUAUUGUGGAGUCCCAUAAUAGGACGAAACGGCCGUCCAGUGC